AGGUCCGGCAUAAUCUCGGGAAACUGAGGAUAAUUCCGGAUAGCUCUUUUUGGCUGGAAUUGCAUUAAGAGUCAAAGUUCUUCGCCUAAGGAUGGGUCUGCGGCCUAUCAGGUAGUAGAGGGUGUAACGCACCUUCCAGCCGACAACGGGUACGGGUUGUGAGAGCAAGAGCCCGGAGAUGGAUUCUGAGACAUGAAUCCAGGCCCUACGGGGCGCAGCAGGCGCGAAAACUUUACAAUGCAGGAAACUGUGAUAAGGAAACACCGAGUGCCCGCAUCUAAUGCGGGCUGUCCAUAUACUCAAAAAGUAUGUGUUAGCAAGGGCCGGGCAAUACCGGUGCCAGCCGCCGCGGUAAUACCGGUGGCCCGAGUGGUAGCCGCUUUUAUUUGGUCUAAAGGGUCCGUAGCCGGUCCGGUCAGUCCAUUGGUAAAUCCGCGCGCCCAACGCGCGGUCUUCAGUGGAUACUUCCGGACUUGGGACCGGGAGAGGUAAGAGGUACUAUAGGGGUAGGAGUGAAAUCUUGUAAUCCUUAUGGGACCACCUGUGGCGAAGGCGUCUUACCAGAACGGGUCCGACGGUGAGGGACGAAAGCUGGGGGCACGAACCGGAUUAGAUACCCGGGUAGUCCCAGCCGUAAACUAUGCCCGCUGGGUGUCAGGCAUGGCGUGACUGUGUCUGGUGCCGUAGAGAAGUCGUGAAGCGGGCCACCUGGGAAGUACGGCCGCAAGGCUGAAACUUAAAGGAAUUGGCGGGGGAGCACUACAACGGGU
This 770-nucleotide ribosomal RNA is filed under the name uncultured archaeon. RNAcentral's name for it is "bacterial SSU rRNA". It matches the Rfam family "Archaeal small subunit ribosomal RNA", at positions 117 to 889 of the family's 1478-position model. The record is from RNAcentral.